GGGGGUAUAGCUCAAUGGUAGAGUGUGUGUUUAGCAUGUAUGUGGCCCUGGGUUCAAUGCCUAGCACACACA
RNAcentral lists this transfer RNA (72 nucleotides) under Ictidomys tridecemlineatus (thirteen-lined ground squirrel). RNAcentral describes it as "Spermophilus tridecemlineatus (thirteen-lined ground squirrel) tRNA". It matches the Rfam family "tRNA". Rfam says of the family: Transfer RNA (tRNA) molecules are approximately 80 nucleotides in length. Their secondary structure includes four short double-helical elements and three loops (D, anti-codon, and T loops). Further hydrogen bonds mediate the characteristic L-shaped molecular structure. tRNAs have two regions of fundamental functional importance: the anti-codon, which is responsible for specific mRNA codon recognition, and the 3' end, to which the tRNAs corresponding amino acid is attached (by aminoacyl-tRNA synthetases). tRNAs cope with the degeneracy of the genetic code in two manners: having more than one tRNA (with a specific anti-codon) for a particular amino acid; and 'wobble' base-pairing, i.e. permitting non-standard base-pairing at the 3rd anti-codon position. The record is from Rfam by way of RNAcentral. Lineage: Eukaryota; Metazoa; Chordata; Mammalia; Rodentia; Sciuridae.